CCUACGGGAGGCAGCAGUAGGGAAUCUUUCACAAUGGGCGAAAGCCUGAUGGAGCAACGCCGCGUGCAGGAUGAAGGCCUUCGGGUUGUAAACUGCUUUUAUAAGCGAGAAAUAUGAUGGUAACUUAUGAAUAAGGAUCGGCUAACUACGUGCCAGCAGCCGCGGUCAUACGUAGGAUCCGAGCAUUAUCCGGAGUGACUGGGUGUAAAGAGUUGCGUAGGUGGCAUAAUAAGUAGCUAGUGAAAUCUGGUGGCUCAACCAUUCAGACUAUUAGCUAAACUGUUAAUCGCGAGACCGUUAGGGGUAACUGGAUUUUCUAGUGUAGGAGUGAAAUCCGUAGAUAUUAGAAGGAACACCAAUAGCGUAGGCAGGUUACUAGGACGGUUCUGACACUAAUGCAUGAAAGCGUAGGGAUCAAACGGGAUUAGAUACCCCAGUAGUC
RNAcentral lists this ribosomal RNA (442 nucleotides) under uncultured bacterium. RNAcentral's name for it is "partial 16S ribosomal RNA". It matches the Rfam family "Bacterial small subunit ribosomal RNA", at positions 338 to 795 of the family's 1533-position model. The record is from RNAcentral.